This 326-nucleotide long non-coding RNA is filed under the name Mytilus galloprovincialis (Mediterranean mussel). The record is from RNAcentral. Lineage: Eukaryota; Metazoa; Mollusca; Bivalvia; Mytilida; Mytilidae.
CAAGGAUGAUACAUGCUAGAACUCAAAAUGACAGCAGAAAUAAAAUUUAUAUACUUUAUUCAUAGUCUUUGUAUGUUCAAAGUACAGAAAAACAUAAACCGGAAGUCUAAUCUGACUUAAAGUUUUGUCCAAUGACGGGAAAAUAUCCGGACGCAUUCUUUUUCGUUUUUAUCCCAAAAUAACCCCAACUGAAUGAUCAUAAGAAUGGAUGACAAAUGCGACUAUACAUGUUACCUAUAGGACACAGAGGCAUGAUGAUUAAUUUAUUGUGGAAGGAGGAGAAGCGACACCCAAAAUGAGGUCUUCUCGUUUAAUAGUAUAGAUGA